This 253-nucleotide ribosomal RNA is filed under the name uncultured bacterium. RNAcentral's name for it is "partial 16S ribosomal RNA". It matches the Rfam family "Bacterial small subunit ribosomal RNA", at positions 524 to 776 of the family's 1533-position model. The record is from RNAcentral.
UACGUAGGGGGCAAGCGUUGUCCGGAUUUAUUGGGCGUAAAGAGCGUGUAGGCGGCUUGGUAAGUCCGCUGUGAAAUCUCGAGGCUCAACUUCGAGCUGUCGGUGGAAACUGUCUGGCUAGAGUCCGGAAGAGGAGAAUGGAAUUCCUGGUGUAGCGGUGAAAUGCGCAGAUAUCAGGAAGAACACCCGUGGCGAAGGCGGUUCUCUGGGACGGUACUGACGCUGAGACGCGAAAGCGUGGGGAGCGAACAGG